AGAGCUUUUCAACCUUUUGGGGAAGCUCAAGUGUAGUGUGUGUUCUUACCAGUUUCUUAUCUGAUAGGUGGCUGCAAGGAUUCGCUGUUAAAUAGCAUUGCAGAGACAGGAGAUGCUUUGGGAGCUUGCUGCAGCCGCUUUGCAUGUGGCCCUGGUAUCGCAAUACCUCCUGGUGUGCUGUUAACCCUGC
Non-coding RNA from Aptenodytes forsteri (emperor penguin), 190 nucleotides. Lineage: Eukaryota; Metazoa; Chordata; Aves; Sphenisciformes; Spheniscidae. The record is from Rfam.